GAAAAUUCCCACAGUCCUUUACAUCUGAAGAUGUCUGGGGACUGAUCUCAAAUGGCUUCAGUUGGAACAUCCAUCAAGAAACCCAACAGGAUUCCCCUGGUGUGCAAGAUGUGCCUGAAGACAUUUGACCAGCUUCCUGCUUACUUGAAUAGGGAGUGUAUGAAGCGAGCAACACUAGAGGAGAUCAGGAUGGCCUCUCGUCAGGCCAGGAAGGACUUGAUGAAUCACCUGAGGAAUGGGCAGGUUGUGGAAUAUGAGAGCAUAGAGCUAUUGUUCGACAAGGCAAAUAGGAAUCUGGCUGUGAGACUGUUGGAAUGCCAGUGCGCCGCAGCAGGAAUCUCUCCCUCCAUCUCCAUUUAUCAAUUAGUAAUUGUCCCAGUAAAUACACAAAUCCCCUACAGCAGUAAGACUUUCCUCUCAUGUUUCCAGUUUGAUUAAUAAUUCCACUGGCU
This 452-nucleotide long non-coding RNA is filed under the name Lepisosteus oculatus (spotted gar). RNAcentral's name for it is "lncRNA (ENSLOCG00000022466.1)". Lineage: Eukaryota; Metazoa; Chordata; Actinopteri; Semionotiformes; Lepisosteidae. The record is from RNAcentral.